RNAcentral lists this ribosomal RNA (221 nucleotides) under Neofusicoccum parvum. Its description in RNAcentral is "partial 28S ribosomal RNA". Lineage: Eukaryota; Fungi; Ascomycota; Dothideomycetes; Botryosphaeriales; Botryosphaeriaceae. The record is from RNAcentral.
GAUCAGGUAGGGAUACCCGCUGAACUUAAGCAUAUCAAUAAGCGGAGGAAGAUCAUUACCGAGUUGAUUCGAGCUCCGGCUCGACUCUCCCACCCAAUGUGUACCUACCUCUGUUGCUUUGGCGGGCCGCGGUCCUCCGCACCGGCCCUCUCNGGGGGCUGGCCAGCGCGCCCAAGGAACCAUAAAAUCUCGCUCGUGGAACUUCCCGUCCGGAAAACAAG